UACGUAGGGUGCGAGCGUUGUCCGGAAUUAUUGGGCGUAAAGAGCUCGUAGGCGGCUUGUCACGUCGGAUGUGAAAGCCCGGGGCUUAACUCCGGGUCUGCAUUCGAUACGGGCAGGCUAGAGUUCGGUAGGGGAGAUCGGAAUUCCUGGUGUAGCGGUGAAAUGCGCAGAUAUCAGGAGGAACACCGGUGGCGAAGGCGGAUCUCUGGGCCGAUACUGACGCUGAGGCGCGACAGCGUGGGGAGCAAACAGG
RNAcentral lists this ribosomal RNA (253 nucleotides) under uncultured bacterium. Its description in RNAcentral is "partial 16S ribosomal RNA". It matches the Rfam family "Bacterial small subunit ribosomal RNA", at positions 524 to 776 of the family's 1533-position model. The record is from RNAcentral.